This 468-nucleotide ribosomal RNA is filed under the name uncultured bacterium. RNAcentral's name for it is "partial 16S ribosomal RNA". It matches the Rfam family "Bacterial small subunit ribosomal RNA", at positions 28 to 507 of the family's 1533-position model. The record is from RNAcentral.
GACGAACGCUGGCGGCGGGCUUAACACAUGCAAGUCGAACGGAAAGGCCCUGCUUUUGUGUGGUGCUCGAGUGGCGAACGGGUGAGUAACACGUGAGUAACCUUCCCUUUACUUUGGGAUAACUUCAGGAAACUGGGGCUAAUACCGGCUAGGAGCUCCUGCUGCAUGGUGGGGGUUGGAAAGUUUCGGCGGUGGGGGAUGGACUCGGGGGUUACUAGCUUGUUGGUGGGGUAGUUGCUUACCAAGGCUUUGACGGGUAGCCGGCAUGGGAGGGUAGCCGGCCACAUUGGGACUGAGAUACGGCGCAGACUGCUACGGGAGGCAGCAGUGGGGAAUAUUACACAAUGGGCGGAAGUCUGAUGCAGCAACGCCGCGUGCGGGAUGAAGGCCUUCGGGUUGUAAACCGCUUUCGCCUGUGACGAAGCGUGAGUGACGGUAAUGGGUAAAGAAGCACCGGCUAACUACGUG